RNAcentral lists this ribosomal RNA (254 nucleotides) under uncultured bacterium. Its description in RNAcentral is "partial 16S ribosomal RNA". It matches the Rfam family "Bacterial small subunit ribosomal RNA", at positions 524 to 776 of the family's 1533-position model. The record is from RNAcentral.
UACGUAGGGUGCAAGCGUUGCCCGGAUUUAUUGGGCGUAAAGAGCUCGUAGGCGGUCUGUCGCGUCGGUCGUGAAAACCUGCAGCUUAACUGUGGGCGUGCGGUCGAUACGGGCAUGACUGGAGUUCGGCAGGGGAGACUGGAAUUCCUGGUGUAGCGGUGAAAUGCGCAGAUAUCAGGAGGAACACCGGUGGCGAAGGCGGGUCUCUGGGCCGAUACUGACGCUGAGGAGCGAAAGCGUGGGGAGCGAACAGG